Molecule: ribosomal RNA, 377 nt
Filed under: uncultured eukaryote
Lineage: Eukaryota
Description: partial 18S ribosomal RNA
Rfam family: Eukaryotic small subunit ribosomal RNA
Source: RNAcentral
CAAUAGCGUAUAUUUAAGUUGCUGCAGUUAAAAAGCUCGUAGUUGGAUUUCGGGUGGGAAUGGCCGGUCCGCCGUUUCGGUGUGCACUUGCUACGCCCACCUUGCUGCCGGGGACGUGCCCUUGAGUUCACGCUCGGGACACGGAGUCGGCGAGGUUACUUUGAGUAAAUUAGAGUGUUCAAAGCAGGCCUACGCUCUGAAUACAUUAGCAUGGAAUAACACGAUAGGACUCUGGCCUAUCUUGUUGGUCUGUAGGACCGGAGUAAUGAUUAAGAGGGACAGUCGGGGGCAUUCGUAUUUCAUUGUCAGAGGUGAAAUUCUUGGAUUUAUGAAAGACGGACUACUGCGAAAGCAUUUGCCAAGGAUGUUUUCAUUAA